AGUCAAGUCACCAGAAAAAAGUUGUGCGCGCAGCAGUGUUACCGUUGUUCGGUUUCGUCAAUCUGCUGGUAACGCGAGUGAUACGCACCUAUUCCUUUCCUUCGUCGUCUGAGUUUCAACUACUUGGAGAUAUGGAGCAUGCGCGGCAUCUCUCUCGUCUCUGGAAAUGUGAACAUGUGUUCGGCGUUGUACUCUCACGCCCGUUUGUGUGAUUGGACCAUGCAGUUCCUGCAAGAUAUUAAAAAGACAAGGAUGUGAACAGGAGUGCCAAGAACCCGACGACCUUAAAAAGGAAACGGCGUUCUUCAAGUGGACCUUGGUGAUAAAAAGCUCGCUGCCGCCGGCGACUCAGGUGAGCGAUAUCUGCGGCAACCUGGACGAGGACGCCAGCAAUGCUGAAAUUUCGUGUGGGCGGAAUUGACCCACUAAACGAUCACUGUGGCGUUGUUCAUAGUUGUCUCGCCACGUAAGACCAUGAAUUAUCAAUUGUCGGUCGGCGAUGGCAAAUCUACUCGCCGUCCAAGAGUGAAUAUGUCGUGAAACACGCGAUAGUUUGCGUAAAUGAUGAACAGCUGCUUUGUCAUGACGGUUGCGUACUUUUACUUAUGGAAAAAUAAGUUUGAAAAGUUCCACCGCAAUCACUGUAUUUUCCGGUGCGGGAAGUGUCCUGGAAGGGGCGUUAUCCCCCGGUGCGCGUUACACGAGAGCUUUUUAUUCCUUAAGAGCCGUUACUAAGAAGAUGUCGCGCAACCUCUAGCCUCACGCCUUGGUUCACCACUGAACAUAGGCUUGAAUCGUUCGUUUGGAACCGAGAAAACUGGAUGGCAGACGACGAACACAGGGCGGGCACACGAAGAGCGGACAGAGAUAUCGUACGUCGGUGCAACAUCAAAACGUCGUCGAUGUUUCGGUGAUCCUAAACUCAUUUGUUGUCGCUGUUGUGAAGAAACGAACAGCGAAGAGACCGAAGUCUGCUACGACACUACUGGAAUCGGAAUUAUAUGGUCUCGGGUAAGCAUUGUGCCCCUGAUAGACGUAGUAAAAAGUACAGAUAACCAAUGCAAAUAAAGGCCUUGAUUACGGUAGACGCUGUAGUGUAG
This is a long non-coding RNA of Ornithodoros turicata, 1100 nucleotides long. RefSeq lists it as uncharacterized. Lineage: Eukaryota; Metazoa; Arthropoda; Arachnida; Ixodida; Argasidae. The record is from RefSeq and is a predicted model, not a curated record. The transcript has 3 exons.